This is a long non-coding RNA of Prunus dulcis (almond), 800 nucleotides long. RefSeq lists it as uncharacterized. The transcript has 2 exons. Lineage: Eukaryota; Viridiplantae; Streptophyta; Magnoliopsida; Rosales; Rosaceae. The record is from RefSeq and is a predicted model, not a curated record.
CUUCCACAGCUGCUCCUUUUCUCCUUCUGUGACAAUGAGACAGUGCCAACGACCACAUCUCCUCUCCUCUGAGUCUCUAUUUGAUUUUGAUUCCUUCCACAUGCGCUCCUCCUUCUGUGACGAAGUCGACGAGACAGCAUCGGCGGCGUCAUAUCCUUUCCUCGAUUCCUCUCUCAUAUCAGUUUAAGCUAAGCAUCCUCUUUGAUAAUGGCUGAAAAGUGCAUCGUUUAUGUCCCUAAAAUAUACCCUUAGAGCUUAUUUAUUUACUAAUUUAUUCAUUUUGGUCUACUAUAUUUUUAAUUUUUCAAAUAAAGUUUAAUAUUAUUUUGCAUUGAUUUUGGCCAAUUUUAUGUAGGCAAAUAAUAUUGGAAUUAUGUGGGCAGCUUACUGGAGUGCAAAAGAGAUGAAGUAAAAGAGAAAACUAAGCUAAUUGGUUGGAGACUUAUCACGUGCUAAGUAAGAGAUCAAUGACUUAUCAAAAGAGGAAGCUGACGUGCAUAGGAGAAUAGGAAGGGAAAUUCACCGUGGAGAAGUUAAAUUCAAGGAGGAAAAUAAAUCCUAAGUGGUUAGGGUUUGACUGAUAUAAAAGGGUGCUACUCGCUCUGUCUCAAGGAUUCUGCUUUUUGGCCCAAAACACUUUAUUUUUCUAGAGUUAUUUUUCUUUGUUAUGGAGAACUAACUCCCUAGCUAAGGCUAGGGGGAAGGCCUUCGAGAUAGUAUGUGGUUUCGUUAGUUUGAUUCGAAUGGAGAUUCAAUGUUAAAUUCUUAUUUAUGGAUUUGUUCAAUUUAAUUUUAGUUUU